RNAcentral lists this transfer-messenger RNA (393 nucleotides) under Bacteroidota (CFB group bacteria). RNAcentral's name for it is "JAIBAE01 sp019695345 Standard tmRNA". It matches the Rfam family "transfer-messenger RNA". Rfam says of the family: Bacterial tmRNA, also known as 10Sa RNA or SsrA, is named for its dual tRNA and mRNA-like properties. Its role is to liberate the mRNA from a stalled ribosome. To accomplish this part of the tmRNA is used as a reading frame that ends in a translation stop signal. RNAcentral also lists the same sequence under 1 other name. The record is from RNAcentral. Lineage: Bacteria; Pseudomonadati.
GGGGGUGAAAUGGAUUCGACAGGGUGGAAGAUUGACGUAAAUGCAUGCCGAGCUACGCUGGUGGAGCUCGUAAAUACAACCGGCGAAACACAGUUGGCAACAACUACAGCUACGCUAUGGCUGCUUAAUAACCAGUUAUAGUUGAAAAUGUUGAGCAUAGCUCCGUUUUCCAUCGUACUCAGGUGAGCCGUUGCGCUUGAACUACGGUGACAUUUUUUAGCGGAUUGCAAUAGUAUGUUUCUUUCCGUACCAUUGUGAAAUAAUAGAACGAUAGUUAUUGGUGUACGUGUUGUUUCGUGAACCCAAUAGCGAAAAUUUGUAGAACAACUACGCAUGGAGUAAGUUACGCGUUCUGCACUUUGGACGCGGGUUCGACUCCCGCCACCUCCACAA